UAGGGAAUCUUCCACAAUGGGCGCAAGCCUGAUGGAGCAACACCGCGUGAGUGAAGAAGGGUUUCGGCUCGUAAAGCUCUGUUGUUAAAGAAGAACACGUAUGAGAGUAACUGUUCACACGUUGACGGUAUUUAACCAGAAAGUCACGGCUAACUACGUACCAG
This 164-nucleotide ribosomal RNA is filed under the name uncultured bacterium. Its description in RNAcentral is "partial 16S rRNA". It matches the Rfam family "Bacterial small subunit ribosomal RNA", at positions 355 to 511 of the family's 1533-position model. The record is from RNAcentral.